CCUACGGGUGGCAGCAGUGAGGAAUAUUGGUCAAUGGGCGCGCGCCUGAACCAGCCAAGUAGCGUGAAGGAUGACUGCCCUACGGGUUGUAAGCUUCUUUUAUAAAGGAAUAAAGUGAGGCACGAGUGCCUUUUUGUAUGUACUUUAUGACUAAGGAUCGGCUAACUCCGUGCCAGCAGCCGCGGUACUACGGAGGAUCCGAGCGUUAUGCGGAUUUAUUGGGUGUAAAGGGAGCGUAGAUGGGUUGUUAAGUCAGUUGUGAAAGUUUGUGGCUCAACCGUAAAAUUGCAAUUGAUACUGGCAGCCUAGAGUACAGUUGAGGUAGGUGGAAUUCGUGGUGUAGCGGUGAAAUGCGUAGAGAUCACGAAGAACUCCGAUGGCGAAGGCAGCCUACUAAACAGCCACUGACAUUGAGGUGCGAAAGCGUGGGGAGCAAACAGGAUUAGAUACCCCAGUAGUC
RNAcentral lists this ribosomal RNA (460 nucleotides) under uncultured bacterium. RNAcentral describes it as "partial 16S ribosomal RNA". It matches the Rfam family "Bacterial small subunit ribosomal RNA", at positions 338 to 795 of the family's 1533-position model. The record is from RNAcentral.